GAUGAACCCUGGCGGCGUGCCUAAUACAUGCAAGUCGAGCGAACGGACGAGAAGCUUGCUUGUCUGAUGUUAGGGGCGGACGGGUGAGUAACACGUGGAUCACCUACCUGUAAGACUGGGAUCGUUUCGGGACACCGUAGCUAAUACCGGACAAAUUUUGAAACGGGUGGUUCCACAGUCAAAAUGCGUCCUGAUGGUCCUUAUUCGGUGUAUCUCGCUGGUUUAGCUAGUUGGUAAGAUAACGGCUUACCAAGGCUACGAUGCGUAGCCGACCUGAGAGGGUGAUCGGCCACACUGGAACUGAGACACGGUCCAGACUCCUACGGGAGGCAGCAGUAGGGAAUCUUCCACAAUGGGCGAAAGCCUGACGCAGCAAGGCCGCGUGUGUGAUGAAGGUCUUCGGAUCGUAAAGCUCUGUUAGUAGGGAAGAACAGAUGUGUAAGAAACCGUGGCCAUCUUGACGGUACCUAAUCAGAAAGCAACGGCUAACUACGUG
RNAcentral lists this ribosomal RNA (496 nucleotides) under uncultured bacterium. Its description in RNAcentral is "partial 16S ribosomal RNA". It matches the Rfam family "Bacterial small subunit ribosomal RNA", at positions 28 to 507 of the family's 1533-position model. The record is from RNAcentral.